UUUCUAACCUACUUCUUUGGAUGGACUCCAUCUGUGCAGGUCCAACUUUUUUUUUUACUGGUUUGUCUGACAACAGUUCAGACUCCAUGACCAGCAACACUGAACUCAUUAACUGUCCUUCUUUACCUCCACUUGAACCUUUGCUAGUGUUUACUAUUGCAGUGAACGGCACCGCCAUCUACCUGGUUGCCCAGGCCAGAGUGCUCUCUCUUCCCAUUUCCCUCCUUGAUUUUUAGUUGUAGUUAUUCUGAUAAAUUUAAACUAUUUGAGGCAUUUUUCUUGGUUGUACAUUCUAGUUUUCAUUAGUAUAAAUUGGAGAUAUUAGAUAAAGCAUAUUUUAUUCUUCGUGCUACUUUUGGCUCCAGUUAUUAAUGACUAAUACAGAUCUAAAAUAAUUUUCUAUUGAGAUUUUUAGUUUACAUAAAUCAAAAUGAAAAUGGGCAGAAAUUUAUGUUUUACCAAAGACGAUUCUAUUCAGUAUUCUAAAUCAUGUAUUGUUUUUUAAAAGAUACUGUUUUUUUCUGAAUUGAAAAAACCUCUUAGCUCACUUA
Molecule: long non-coding RNA, 551 nt
Filed under: Bos taurus (domestic cattle)
Lineage: Eukaryota; Metazoa; Chordata; Mammalia; Artiodactyla; Bovidae
Description: long non-coding RNA NONBTAT010790
Source: RNAcentral